GAUGAACGCUGGCGGCGUGCCUAAUACAUGCAAGUCGAGCGAACGGACGAGAAGCUUGCUUUUCUGAUGUUAGCGGCGGACGGGUGAGUAACACGUGGAUAACCUACCUAUAAGACUGGGAUAACUUCGGGAAACCGGAGCUAAUACCGGAUAAUAUUUUGAACCGCAUGGUUCAAAAGUGAAAGACGGUCUUGCUGUCACUUAUAGAUGGAUCCGCGCUGCAUUAGCUAGUUGGUAAGGUAACGGCUUACCAAGGCAACGAUGCAUAGCCGACCUGAGGGGGUGAUCGGCCACACGGGAACGGAGACACGGUCCAGACGCCUACGGGAGGCAGCAGUAGGGAAUCGGCCGCAAUGGGCGAAAGCCUGACGGAGCAACGCCGCGUGAGUGAUGAAGGUCUUCGGAUCGUAAAACUCUGUUAUUAGGGAAGAACAUAUGUGUAAGUAACUGUGCACAGCUUGACGGUACCGAAUCAGAAAGCCACGGCUAACUACGUG
RNAcentral lists this ribosomal RNA (497 nucleotides) under uncultured bacterium. RNAcentral's name for it is "partial 16S ribosomal RNA". It matches the Rfam family "Bacterial small subunit ribosomal RNA", at positions 28 to 507 of the family's 1533-position model. The record is from RNAcentral.